This 265-nucleotide ribosomal RNA is filed under the name uncultured archaeon. RNAcentral's name for it is "partial 16S ribosomal RNA". It matches the Rfam family "Archaeal small subunit ribosomal RNA", at positions 717 to 982 of the family's 1478-position model. The record is from RNAcentral.
AGACGUCCACAUUAGAUACCCCCUGUAGUCCCAGCCGUAAACUAUGCGCGUUAGGUGUAUCGGUGACCACGAGUCACCGAGGUGCCGAAGGGAAACCGUGAAACGUGCCGCCUGGGAAGUACGGUCGCAAGGCUGAAACUUAAAGGAAUUGGCGGGGAGCACCACAACGGGUGGAGCCUGCGGUUUAAUUGGACUCAACGCCGGGAAGCUCACCGGAUAAGACAGCGGAAUGAUUGCCGGGCUGAAGACUCUGCAUGACUAGCUG